Molecule: ribosomal RNA, 443 nt
Filed under: uncultured bacterium
Lineage: Bacteria
Description: partial 16S ribosomal RNA
Rfam family: Bacterial small subunit ribosomal RNA
Source: RNAcentral
CCUACGGGUGGCUGCAGUGGGGAAUAUUGGGCAAUGGGCGCAAGCCUGACCCAGCAACGCCGCGUGAAGGAAGAAGGCUUUCGGGUGGUAAACUUCUUUUCUCAGGGACGAAGAAAGUUACGGUACCUGAGGAAUAAGCCACGGCUAACUACGUGCCAGCAUCCGCGGUAAUACGUAGGUGGCAAGCGUUAUCCGGAUGAAUUGGGUGUAAAGGGCGUGGAGGCGGGAGCGCAAGUCAGAUGUGAAAACUCAGGGCUCAACCCUGGGCCUUCAUUUGAAACUGUGUUUCUUGAGUGCUGGAGAGGCAAUCGGAAUGCCGGGGGUAGCGGUGAAAUGCGUAGAUAUACGGAGGAACACCAGUGGCGAAGGCGGAUUGCUGGACAGUAACUGACGCUGAGGCGCGAAAGCGUGGGGAGCAAACAGGAUUAGAUACCCGAGUAGUC